RNAcentral lists this ribosomal RNA (433 nucleotides) under uncultured bacterium. RNAcentral describes it as "partial 16S ribosomal RNA". It matches the Rfam family "Bacterial small subunit ribosomal RNA", at positions 29 to 507 of the family's 1533-position model. The record is from RNAcentral.
AGCGAACGCUGGCGGCAGGCCUAACACAUGCAAGUCGAACGAACUCUUCGGAGUUAGUGGCGGACGGGUGAGUAACACGUGGGAACGUGCCUUUUGGUUCGGAAUAACUCAGGGAAACUUGUGCUAAUACCGAAUGUGCCCUUCGGGGGAAAGAUUUAUCGCCCUUAGGGCGGCCCGCGUCUGAUUAGCUAGUUGGUGAGGUAACGGCUCACCAAGGCGACGAUCAGUAGCUGGUCUGAGAGGAUGACCAGCCACACUGGGACUGAGACACGGCCCAGACUACGACGGGAGGCAGCAGGGGGGAAUGGUGCGCAAUGGGAGAAAGGCUGAAGCAGCCAUGCGGGGUGAAUGAUGAAGGUCUGAGGAUAGUAAAAUUCUUUCACCGGGGACGAUAAUGACGGUACCCGGAGAAGAAGCCACGGCUAACUUCGUG